This 253-nucleotide ribosomal RNA is filed under the name uncultured bacterium. Its description in RNAcentral is "partial 16S ribosomal RNA". It matches the Rfam family "Bacterial small subunit ribosomal RNA", at positions 524 to 776 of the family's 1533-position model. The record is from RNAcentral.
UACAGAGGGUGCAAGCGUUGUUCGGAAUUACUGGGCGUAAAGCGUGCGCAGGCGGUGCUGUAAGACCGAUGUGAAAUCCCCGGGCUUAACCUGGGAACUGCAUUGGUGACUGCAGCGCUGGAGUAUGGCAGAGGGGGGUGGAAUUCCACGUGUAGCAGUGAAAUGCGUAGAGAUGUGGAGGAACACCGAUGGCGAAGGCAGCCCCCUGGGCCAAUACUGACGCUCAUGCACGAAAGCGUGGGGAGCAAACAGG